CUACAUAUACGCACUUGGAACUGUAACUAACCCUAGUUAAUUAUUUCACCCCAUAGUGUUUGUUAUGACUUAUACAUACAUACAUACAUACAUACAUACAUACAUACAUACAUGCAUAACUAUUGAUAUAUGCACGCUUGAGUAUUAUAUAUCUAAUUUGGGACAUGCACAUAUAUCACUAAUUCAAGAAAUGUAGUUUCCCAGAGAAUGUGCAAUUAUCUCAUGAUAUAUAGUAAUAAUUUUCAUGUGUUUUUGUUAAAGAUGUAUCGCACAAUUAGGACUACAGACAGGCCUGCAAAUUCUUCAGGUAAAAAAUAUUAAUUUCCCUACCUUUAUCUUCUUGUUUUGCACAAAUUAACUUGACUUAUAAAUCUAGUGUAUAUAUAAAUUGUACAUGCUCAUGAGUAUUAUAUAUAUUUAUAUAAAUUAUAUUUUAACAAAAGUAUAUAUCAUUAAGAAAAACAGUAAAACAUGCAUCAGAUUAAUUAAUUAAUUGGUACGUACGUGGUUAAUUAAUAACAUUUAUAGGGAAUCAGUCAGAUGGAUUUGAAAGCGAUUUAGUGGGUGAGAAUUCGGAGGAUCAUCUACAGAACUUAUCAGGUGAAGCAGCAGCUGGGACAUCAGCAGUUAAAGGAGGAAUGCCAAUGAGCUUAGAACAUGAAGAUCAGGAUUAUUAUGGUCUCUGGAGCAAUUCAUCAAGGUGAAAUUUUCUUUUUCAUUGUUAUGUAUUGUUAUUAUUAUUAUUGUUGUUGUUGGUAACCGAGGAAAUUGGGGAAACUAUAUUUUGGGUCUAUGAUGAUUUGACAUAUAAAAGUCUACAUGAGACAAAGUUCAUAGCUCCCCCCUCCCCCCCCUUUCUGUUCUGUUUUCUCUGGUAUUGAAAAAAGUCAGUGUUCUUUUAAAAGAAAUAAUUAACCUAACAUAAGAGAAAUAUGGUAUAUAUAUUUAAAAAGUAAUACAAAUUGUAUACAAAAAGUUGGUACAAAAAAAAAAAGAGAAGUCAAAGAACUACAUAUAUAUAUAUAUAUAUAUAUAUAUAUAUAUAUAUAUAUAUGUAUUGCAUUACAAUAUAUACUAUAUAUACAAAUCAGUAUUGCAUUACAAUAUAUAUAUACUAUAUAUAUAUAUAUAUAUAUAUAUAAUGCUGUUUCCGUUAUUUAAGUCAAAGAACUUUAUAUUAUAAUGAAAUAUAUAGCUGUCUGCAUGUUUGUCUAUAAUAAUUAGCGCAUUAAUCGAAAAUAUUUUUUUAUGGAAAUUAUUGAAAUGCAAUAGGUAGGUAUAUGUAUGUUUAAUUUCUCAAUAAAAGUUUGAAAAGAAUUGAAGAAUUAAAAUUUGACCUAACUUUUUUAGUCACGUAUGUACGUAGCAUGGGACAGCAAAUGUUAACGAAACAUGAACGUAGUUUGGUUAUAAAAAGAAGAUAAAUUGAUACUUCAACCAGCUUUUCUGCUGUUAAAAGAAGAUCAGGUGACAGACACCAUUACUGGGAAUUAAAUAUUUGAAAAACCUUUUUUCUUUUUGAAGACUGUACUGUACGUACAUGCAGUCUUAAAGGUUUUAAGUAAUAUAUAGAAAGUUUGUAAAACUUUUUUUCAUUAGAGUGAUUUGGUUUAGAGAGAAAAGAUGAUCAUAACAGUGAUUUUUCUCAUGUUUGGAUAGUUUAGUGAGGAGAAACUUAAUAGUAGGAGAAAGUUAAUUUUGGUAUAUUGAUAUACAGUGUUGACACGCAUACAGGUCAAUCGAGAGAUAAUCUCUAUCUGCGUGUUAUUAUUGUAUUGGUCAAUUGACCAACUUAUCAUAAAAUUAAUUUCAUAGUAAUCGAAUUCACAUAUCACCCUAAAUUGAUAAAUUUCAAAGUUAUCGUUUUGUAUUUUAGUCUCUCUCUUUUUCAAGAGAGAGCAUGCAAUAUAUAUAAGUUAACCCUUAUUUUCUGUUCUUUCUUAACUCAAGAUUUAUAUAAGGCGCUUUCCAUGUUUUAGGGGUAACGUAGGGUACAUACAUACAUACAUACAUACAUACAUACAUACAUGCAUAACUAUUGAUAUAUGCACGCUUGAGUAUUAUAUAUCUAAUUUGGGACAUGCACAUAUAUCACUAAUUCAAGAAAUGUAGUUUCCCAGAGAAUGUGCAAUUAUCUCAUGAUAUAUAGUAAUAAUUUUCAUGUGUUUUUGUUAAAG
RNAcentral lists this long non-coding RNA (2177 nucleotides) under Panax ginseng (ginseng). RNAcentral's name for it is "long non-coding RNA (PGIN_LNC006175)". The record is from RNAcentral. Lineage: Eukaryota; Viridiplantae; Streptophyta; Magnoliopsida; Apiales; Araliaceae.